Molecule: ribosomal RNA, 468 nt
Filed under: uncultured bacterium
Lineage: Bacteria
Description: partial 16S ribosomal RNA
Rfam family: Bacterial small subunit ribosomal RNA
Source: RNAcentral
GACGAACGCUGGCGGCGUGCUUAACACAUGCAAGUCGAACGGAAAGGCCCUGCUUUUGUGGGGUGCUCGAGUGGCGAACGGGUGAGUAACACGUGAGUAACCUGCCCUUGACUUUGGGAUAACUUCAGGAAACUGGGGCUAAUACCGGAUAUGAGCUCCUGCUGCAUGGUGGGGGUUGGAAAGUUUCGGCGGUUGGGGAUGGACUCGCGGCUUAUCAGCUUGUUGGUGGGGUAGUGGCUUACCAAGGCUUUGACGGGUAGCCGGCCUGAGAGGGUGACCGGCCACCAUGGGACUGGGAGAGGGACCAGAAGGGUACGGGAGGCAGCGGUGGGGAAUAUUGCACAAUGGGCGGAAGCGUGAUGCAGCGACGCCGCGUGCGGGAUGACGGCCUUCGGGUUGUAAACCGCUUUCGCCUGUGACGAGGCGGGAGUGACGGUAAUGGGUAAAGAAGCACCGGCUAACUACGUG